AUGGAUCAGGAGCUGAUCAAGCACCUUGAGGCGAAAGUGAGUGCUGACAGCGCGAGAUUUCAGUCUCUCAUCGAUUUGUUCAUACCAACCAUCAACAGCGAGCACGGCAUAUGGUACACCCAACCUGAGAAACUUCCAGGUAUCACACUGAGUGGCCUAAGGAAGCAUUUCUUCCAGCGCAAUUCCAGGGCGUUCAAAAGGGGCACGUGGACAUGUCGCAAGAUACAGUCGGAGUGCGGCAUGCACGCGAUGUGGCACAAGACCGGCAAUACCUUGCCGGUGAUGGUCAACGGCCGACAGACGGGCAGCAAAAAAGGUUCUGGUGUUGCACACCAACAAGAACUUCGACCAGCCGAGGACCAACUGGGUGAUGCACCAGUACCACCUCGGGGACCUGGAGAAAGAGAAGGAGCGGGAGCUGGUCCUCUGCAAGAUUUUCUACCAGACGAACACUAG
RNAcentral lists this ribosomal RNA (456 nucleotides) under Triticum aestivum (bread wheat). RNAcentral's name for it is "partial small subunit ribosomal RNA". The record is from RNAcentral. Lineage: Eukaryota; Viridiplantae; Streptophyta; Magnoliopsida; Poales; Poaceae.